Molecule: ribosomal RNA, 468 nt
Filed under: uncultured bacterium
Lineage: Bacteria
Description: bacterial SSU rRNA
Rfam family: Bacterial small subunit ribosomal RNA
Source: RNAcentral
ACUCCUACGGGAGGCAGCAGCUAAGAAUAUUCCGCAAUGGACGGAAGUCUGACGGAGCGACGCCGCGUGGAUGAAGAAGGCCGAAAGGUUGUAAAGUUCCUUUGCUAGGGGAGAAUAAGUGUGGGAGGGAAUGCCUGCACGAUGACAAGGACUAGCGAAUAAGUCCCGGCCAACUACGUGCCAGCAGCCGCGGUAACACGUAGGGGGCGAGCGUUGUUCGGAAUUACUGGGCGUAAAGGGUAUGUAGGCGGCUUGGUAAGCCUGGCGUGAAAGUCUGCAGCUUAACUGUAGGGAUGCGUUGGGAACUGCUUAGCUUGAGUUACGGAGAGGGAGCUGGAAUUCCUGGUGUAGGGGUGAAAUCUGUAGAUAUCAGGAAGAACACCGAUGGCGAAGGCAAGCUUCUGGCCGACAACUGACGCUGAGGUGCGAAAGUGUGGGGAUCAAACAGGAUUAGAUACCCUGGUAGUC